Molecule: ribosomal RNA, 207 nt
Filed under: uncultured bacterium
Lineage: Bacteria
Description: partial 16S ribosomal RNA
Rfam family: Bacterial small subunit ribosomal RNA
Source: RNAcentral
CGCGUAGGCGGACAGUUUAGUCAGAGGUGAAAGCCCAGGGCUCAACCUUGGAAUUGCCUUUGAUACUGGCUGUCUUGAGUACGGGAGAGGUGAGUGGAACUCCGAGUGUAGAGGUGAAAUUCGUAGAUAUUCGGAAGAACACCAGUGGCGAAGGCGACUCACUGGCCCGUUACUGACGCUGAGGCGCGAAGGCGUGGGGAGCAAACA